CCUACGGGACGCAGCAGUGGGGAAUAUUGCACAAUGGGGGAAACCCUGAUGCAGCGACGCCGCGUGAGUGAAGAAGUAUUUCGGUAUGUAAACUUCUAUCAGCAGGGAAGAAAGUGACGGUACCUGACUAAGAAGCCCCGGCUAACUACGUGCCAGCAGCCGCGGUAAUACGUAGGGGGCAAGCGUUAUCCGGAUUUACUGGGUGUAAAGGGAGCGUAGGCGGCGAUACAAGUCAGAAGUGAAAGCCCGGGGCUCAACUCCGGGACUGCUUUUGAAACUGUAUGGCUAGAUUGCAGGAAAGGCAA
RNAcentral lists this ribosomal RNA (305 nucleotides) under uncultured bacterium. RNAcentral's name for it is "bacterial SSU rRNA". It matches the Rfam family "Bacterial small subunit ribosomal RNA", at positions 338 to 660 of the family's 1533-position model. The record is from RNAcentral.